AUCUUCCUUUUUCUUUAUGCUUGCCACGGGUUGCUUCUUCGUGUUAUUUAGAGUGGCUCAUCUUUAAGCUGUUUUAAAGAAAUAAAUUUGAGUUUUACUGUGUGCCUAAGUGAUCCAAAACUACCCUGAGUGCAGUUAACUUUUUUUCUUAGCACCUCAAAGUUGAAGCACAUUUACAGGUCCUUCUUGUUAAUCUGCCUUGGGUAUACUAACGCAUACUGAAAGAUGACCUACUCACAUGAACUACCAACCGCUGCACGUUUGUGGCGAUGUCAAUCGAAUAAUUUGUUUUGCUUAUCUUGUCAUGUGCUUCCUUUACCAACCUUGAUUCUAUAUUUGCAAGUAAGUCUUAAGGUUAAACAUAUAUGCGACCUUAAUGAGUGACCGUGAACUUGGGAAUCCAAUUCUACACUUACAUUUAUUUCUGUGACCGCUAGUAUUGUAAGGCCCAAGUGCUUGUUGCUUCUUCCUUGAGGUGUGGCAUCGACCCUGCUAACAAUACUAUGAACAUGGAUCAUAAUCCUUUGCCAUUUCUUCUUCUCUUUUGACUUCUUCCUUGUCAAGUGAUGCUAAAUUUGACCGAUGCUUAUUUAUCAUUUGGUUGGAAACAGGAAAGGAUCAACGUUUCUCGAGAGCUGCAACCCACGAGGUGUAACUGAUAAGACGCACAGUAGUAUAGACACAGAAUCUGGAAGUCCCCCCAUAAGCAAUGAACCGCUCAAGAGGAAAUUGAAGCAGCGGAAGAGUUUUUGAAGCAUAGGUAAGGGGUUUUGGCUCCAAAAUUGCCGAACUCAUUAUAUGGCCGAUAUAUGCUAGUUUGCCUACAGAUCUUCAAGCAAAGAUAUUUUAACCCACGCCAGAAGGUGCUGGUAAGGUGGUCCUUGCGACAAAUGGUUUUAAGGUUGUAUUUAUAAUUGAUUCGCGUAGAGCAUAACUGGAUACAGAAUGUGGAUGGGGCUCCCAACGUUUCACUUGGACAAAAUGUCCGGACGAGAAUAAAGCAAUUCGCUUUGAUGAAUAAGUUCAAGAAGAAAGUUCUCAGAGUAGUAGUAGACAAUUUGCUUGAUGAGCAAGUGGAUCAUAUCAAAGAGAUGUUCGACGUGAUGGACACCAAUAAAAAUGGAGAUCUGACAUUUGAAGAGUUGAAACAUGGCCUGCACAAAUAUGGACAGCAAGUUGCUAAUCCUGAUGUGCAGAUGUUGAUGGACGCAGUAAGAUCACCUAUUCAACAGCUUAGCACAUUUUGAAUUCUUUGACAAGAAUUGAAGCGGAUAUAUUGAAUUCGAUGAGUUGAAAGAAGCUUUGAUAGAUGACAAUCUUCGUCCGAACAACGAAAAAUUUAUUGAAGACAUCAUUUUCGAUGCUGAUCUAGAUAAGGACGGUCGAAUCAGUUAUGAUGAAUUCAAGGCCAUGAUGAAAAGGGGCAUGGACUGGAAAAUGGCUUCACACCAG
Eucalyptus grandis is the source of this 1452-nucleotide RNA transcript. RefSeq lists it as uncharacterized. Lineage: Eukaryota; Viridiplantae; Streptophyta; Magnoliopsida; Myrtales; Myrtaceae. The record is from RefSeq and is a predicted model, not a curated record. The transcript is spliced from 4 exons.